RNAcentral lists this ribosomal RNA (406 nucleotides) under uncultured bacterium. RNAcentral describes it as "partial 16S ribosomal RNA". It matches the Rfam family "Bacterial small subunit ribosomal RNA", at positions 30 to 526 of the family's 1533-position model. The record is from RNAcentral.
AUUGAACGCUGGCGGCAGGCCUAACACAUGCAAGUCGAACGAGUGGCGGACGGGUGAGUAAUGUCUGGGAAACUGCCCGAUGGAGGGGGAUAACUACUGGAAACGGUAGCUAAUACCGCAUACCAUCGGAUGUGCCCAGAUGGGAUUAGCUAGUAGGUGGGGUAACGGCUCACCUAGGCGACGAUCCCUAGCUGGUCUGAGAGGAUGACCAGCCACACUAGAACUGAGAAGCGGUCCAGACUCCUACGUGAGGCAGCAGUGGGGAAUAUGGCACAAUGGGCGCAAGCCUGGUGCAGCCAUGCCACGUGUAUGAAGAGGGCCUUCGGGUUGUAAAGUACUUUCAGCGAGGAGGCGUUACUCGCAGAAGAAGCACCGGCUAACUCCGUGCCAGCCGCCGCGGUAAUUC